CACGUAGGGCGCGAGCGUUGUCCGGAAUUAUUGGGCGUAAAGAGCUCGUAGGCGGCCUGUUGCGUCCGCUGUGAAAGCCCGGGGCUUAACCCCGGGUCUGCAGUGGAUACGGGCAGGCUAGAGGUAGGUAGGGGAGAAUGGAAUUCCCGGUGUAGCGGUGAAAUGCGCAGAUAUCGGGAGGAACACCAAUGGCGAAGGCAGCACUCUGGGACGUGACUGACGCUGAGACGCGAAAGCGUGGGGAGCAAACAGG
This 253-nucleotide ribosomal RNA is filed under the name uncultured bacterium. RNAcentral's name for it is "partial 16S ribosomal RNA". It matches the Rfam family "Bacterial small subunit ribosomal RNA", at positions 524 to 776 of the family's 1533-position model. The record is from RNAcentral.